GAUGAACGCUGGCGGCGUGCCUAAUACAUGCAAGUCGAGCGAACAGACGAGGAGCUUGCUCCUCUGACGUUAGCGGCGGACGGGUGAGUAACACGUGGAUAACCUACCUAUAAGACUGGGAUAACUUCGGGAAACCGGAGCUAAUACCGGAUAAUAUAUUGAACCGCAUGGUUCAAUAGUGAAAGACGGUUUUGCUGUCACUUAUAGAUGGAUCCGCGCCGCAUUAGCUAGUUGGUAAGGUAACGGCUUACCAAGGCAACGAUGCGUAGCCGACCUGAGAGGGUGGUAGGCCACACUGGAACUGAGACACGGUCCAGACUCCUAAGGGAGGCAGCAGUAGGGAAUCUUCCGCAAUGGGCGAAAGCCUGACGGAGCAACGCCGCGUGAGUGAUGAAGGUCUUCGGAUCGUAAAACUCUGUUAUUAGGGAAGAACAAAUGUGUAAGUAACUAUGCACGUCUUGACGGUACCUAAUCAGAAAGCCACGGCUAACUACGUG
This 497-nucleotide ribosomal RNA is filed under the name uncultured bacterium. Its description in RNAcentral is "partial 16S ribosomal RNA". It matches the Rfam family "Bacterial small subunit ribosomal RNA", at positions 28 to 507 of the family's 1533-position model. The record is from RNAcentral.